This 86-nucleotide transfer RNA is filed under the name Pyricularia oryzae 70-15. RNAcentral describes it as "tRNA-Gly". It matches the Rfam family "tRNA". From Rfam's summary of the family: Transfer RNA (tRNA) molecules are approximately 80 nucleotides in length. Their secondary structure includes four short double-helical elements and three loops (D, anti-codon, and T loops). The record is from RNAcentral. Lineage: Eukaryota; Fungi; Ascomycota; Sordariomycetes; Magnaporthales; Pyriculariaceae.
GCAUCAGUGGUUUAGUGGUAAAAUCCAUCGUUGCCAUUCUUCGAAAGACAUUCGAUGGGCCCCGUGUUCGAUUCACGGCUGAUGCA